GGAGAGGUGCGAGAGUGGCCGAUUCGGCGUGAUUGGAAAUCACGUGUGCCGGCAACGGUACCGAGGGUUCGAAUCCCUCCCUCUCCGCCA
Molecule: transfer RNA, 90 nt
Filed under: Nitrospirales bacterium
Lineage: Bacteria; Pseudomonadati; Nitrospirota; Nitrospiria; Nitrospirales
Description: tRNA-Ser
Rfam family: tRNA
About the family: Transfer RNA (tRNA) molecules are approximately 80 nucleotides in length. Their secondary structure includes four short double-helical elements and three loops (D, anti-codon, and T loops).
Source: RNAcentral